Anneissia japonica is the source of this 447-nucleotide long non-coding RNA. RefSeq lists it as uncharacterized. The transcript is spliced from 6 exons. NCBI's taxonomy places the organism in Eukaryota, Metazoa, Echinodermata, Crinoidea, Comatulida, Comatulidae. The record is from RefSeq and is a predicted model, not a curated record.
AAAACUUUAACAUUGGAACAAAUCUUUGUGCUUUUUUUUUUUUAGGAAAUGAAGAUAAUAAAAACAACUAUGUGAUAAACACUAUUUUGUUCUGUAGUUGUUUUUCACCACCAGAUAAUAAUCAAGAUAACAGACGUAACCAUAAUGAUAAUAGAAAUGAACGUCCGCAGUCAGAUACCAAUGGAGAUAAUGGUGUGUCUGGACAAAAUGAAGAAAGAAUUGCUUUGCGUGAUAUUAAUUCGUCUAAUGAACAGAAUACUAAUCAACAGAAUGCUGAUGUAGCUGAUGGCAUCCCGAAUGCUGAAGCGCAGCCCCUACUGAACCAGGGCAGGAACGAUUCUGCCUCUGGAAGCAAUGUACAACAUGGUGCUUCAGUUGUGAAAUUAGGCCCACUACCUCAACAGAAUACUGAUGUAGCUGAUGCCAUUCCGAAUGCUGAAGCGCAGC